GACGGAAGGUGCAAGCGUUGCUCGGAAUCACUGGGCGUAAAGGGUGCGUAGGCGGCCUCUUAAGUCUAGCGUGAAAGCCCAGGGCUUAGCCCUGGAAGUGCUCUAGAAACUGAGAGGCUAGAGUGCCGGAGGGGAGAGUGGAAUUCCCGGUGUAGCGGUGAAAUGCGUAGAUAUCGGGAGGAAUACCGGUGGCGAAAGCGACUCUCUGGACGGCAACUGACGCUGAGGCACGAAAGCGUGGGGAGCAAACAGG
RNAcentral lists this ribosomal RNA (253 nucleotides) under uncultured bacterium. Its description in RNAcentral is "partial 16S ribosomal RNA". It matches the Rfam family "Bacterial small subunit ribosomal RNA", at positions 524 to 776 of the family's 1533-position model. The record is from RNAcentral.